ACGAACGCUGGCGGCGUGCCUAAUACAUGCCAGUAGAACGCACAGUUUAUACCGUAGCUUGCUACACCAUAGACUGUGAGUUGCGAACGGGUGAGUAACGCGUAGGUAACCUGCCUGGUAGCGGGGGAUAACUAUUGGAAACGAUAGCUAAUACCGCAUAAUAUUAAUUAUUGCAUGAUAAUUAAUUGAAAGGUGCAAUUGCACCACUACCAGAUGGACCUGCGUUGUAUUAGCUAGUAGGUGAGGUAACGGCUCACCUAGGCGACGAUACAUAGCCGACCUGAGAGGGUGAUCGGCCACACUGGGACUGAGACACGGCCCAGACUCCUACGGGAGGCAGCAGUAGGGAAUCUUCGGCAAUGGACGAAAGUCUGACCGAGCAACGCCGCGUGAGUGAAGAAGGUUGUCGGAUCGUAAAGCUCUGUUGUAAGAGAAGAACGGGUGUGAGAGUGGAAAGUUCACACUGUGACGGUAUCUUACCAGAAAGGGACGGCUAACUACGUG
Molecule: ribosomal RNA, 504 nt
Filed under: uncultured bacterium
Lineage: Bacteria
Description: partial 16S ribosomal RNA
Rfam family: Bacterial small subunit ribosomal RNA
Source: RNAcentral